GCUCGUGCUGAAGGCCUGUUUCCUAGGCUACACACGAGGGACUAGUUCCUUACUUUCGCCUAGGGGAAAGUCCCCGGACCUCUGGCAGAGAGUGCCGCGUGCACAUGCACGUAGACCUCCCCCUGCUUCCACGGUUAAAACCGCUAAGAAGCGAACCCGCCCCCGCGGGGAGCCGAGCGGCGUGCUGUAGGUGGUCGUCAUCCGUCAGCUCUUAAAAGUUACGCAGGCAGUGCGCCUCACGGGCGUACCAACCACACGGGGCUCAUUCUCAGCGCGGC
This 278-nucleotide RNase MRP RNA is filed under the name Vicugna pacos (alpaca). RNAcentral describes it as "RNase MRP (ENSVPAG00000016520.1)". It matches the Rfam family "RNase MRP". Rfam says of the family: RNase MRP is an enzymatically active ribonucleoprotein with two distinct roles in eukaryotes. In mitochondria it plays a direct role in the initiation of mitochondrial DNA replication. Lineage: Eukaryota; Metazoa; Chordata; Mammalia; Artiodactyla; Camelidae. The record is from Rfam by way of RNAcentral.